GAUGAACGCUGGCGGCGUGCUUAACACAUGCAAGUCGAGCGAGUGAGUUCUUCGGAACGAUCUAGCGGCGGACGGGUGAGUAACACGUGGGCAACCUGCCUCAUAGAGGGGGAUAGCCUCCUGAAAGGGAGAUUAAUACCGCAUAAAAUUAUCGAGUGGCAUCACAUGAUAAUCAAAGGAGUAAUCCGCUAUGAGAUGGGCCCGCGGCGCAUUAGCUAGUUGGUGAGGUAACGGCUCACCAAGGCGACGAUGCGUAGCCGACCUGAGAGGGUGGUCGGCCACAUUGGGACUGGGACCCGGCCCAGGCUCCUACGGGAGGGAGCAGUGGUGAAUAUUGCACAAUGGGGGAAACCCUGAUGCAGCAACGCCGCGUGAGUGAUGAAGGUCUUCGGAUUGUAAAGCUCUGUCUUUGGGGACGAUAAUGACGGUACCCAAGGAGGAAGCCACGGCUAACUACGUGCCAGCAGCCGCCGUAA
RNAcentral lists this ribosomal RNA (476 nucleotides) under uncultured bacterium. RNAcentral describes it as "partial 16S ribosomal RNA". It matches the Rfam family "Bacterial small subunit ribosomal RNA", at positions 28 to 523 of the family's 1533-position model. The record is from RNAcentral.